This 611-nucleotide ribosomal RNA is filed under the name Salmonella enterica. Its description in RNAcentral is "partial 23S ribosomal RNA". It matches the Rfam family "Bacterial large subunit ribosomal RNA", at positions 2192 to 2802 of the family's 2925-position model. Lineage: Bacteria; Pseudomonadati; Pseudomonadota; Gammaproteobacteria; Enterobacterales; Enterobacteriaceae. RNAcentral also lists the same sequence under 9 other names. The record is from RNAcentral.
UUGAAAUACCACCCUUUAAUGUUUGAUGUUCUAACGUGGACCCGUGAUCCGGGUUGCGGACAGUGUCUGGUGGGUAGUUUGACUGGGGCGGUCUCCUCCUAAAGAGUAACGGAGGAGCACGAAGGUUGGCUAAUCCUGGUCGGACAUCAGGAGGUUAGUGCAAUGGCAUAAGCCAGCUUGACUGCGAGCGUGACGGCGCGAGCAGGUGCGAAAGCAGGUCAUAGUGAUCCGGUGGUUCUGAAUGGAAGGGCCAUCGCUCAACGGAUAAAAGGUACUCCGGGGAUAACAGGCUGAUACCGCCCAAGAGUUCAUAUCGACGGCGGUGUUUGGCACCUCGAUGUCGGCUCAUCACAUCCUGGGGCUGAAGUAGGUCCCAAGGGUAUGGCUGUUCGCCAUUUAAAGUGGUACGCGAGCUGGGUUUAGAACGUCGUGAGACAGUUCGGUCCCUAUCUGCCGUGGGCGCUGGAGAACUGAGGGGGGCUGCUCCUAGUACGAGAGGACCGGAGUGGACGCAUCACUGGUGUUCGGGUUGUCAUGCCAAUGGCACUGCCCGGUAGCUAAAUGCGGAAGAGAUAAGUGCUGAAAGCAUCUAAGCACGAAACUUGCCCCGA